GUGCUUGCUUCAGCAGCACAUAUACUAAAACUGAAAUGAUGCAGAGAAGAUUCACAUGGCCCCUGCUCAAGGAUGACAUGCAAAUUCGUGAAGCGUACCAUAUUUUU
Small nuclear RNA from Homo sapiens (human), 107 nucleotides. NCBI's taxonomy places the organism in Eukaryota, Metazoa, Chordata, Mammalia, Primates, Hominidae. The record is from Ensembl.